RNAcentral lists this ribosomal RNA (270 nucleotides) under uncultured archaeon. Its description in RNAcentral is "partial 16S ribosomal RNA". It matches the Rfam family "Archaeal small subunit ribosomal RNA", at positions 477 to 747 of the family's 1478-position model. The record is from RNAcentral.
CAGCACCUCAAGUGGUCAGGAUGAUUAUUGGGCCUAAAGCAUCCGUAGCCGGCGCUGUAAGUUUUCGGUUAAAUCUGUACGCUCAACGUACAGGCUGCCGGGAAUACUGCAGCGCUAGGGAGUGGGAGAGGUAGACGGUACUCCGUAGGAAGGGGUAAAAUCCUUUGAUCUAUUGAUGACCACCUGUGGCGAAGGCGGUCUACCAGAACACGUCCGACGGUGAGGGAUGAAAGCUGGGGGAGCAAACCGGAUUAGAUACCCGAGUAGUCC